This 1056-nucleotide ribosomal RNA is filed under the name uncultured organism. RNAcentral's name for it is "bacterial SSU rRNA". It matches the Rfam family "Bacterial small subunit ribosomal RNA", at positions 8 to 1060 of the family's 1533-position model. The record is from RNAcentral.
AGAGUUUGAUCCUGGCUCAGGAUGAACGCUAGCUACAGGCUUAACACAUGCAAGUCGAGGGGCAGCAUGAACUUAGCUUGCUAAGUUUGAUGGCGACCGGCGCACGGGUGAGUAACACGUAUCCAACCUGCCGAUGACUCGGGGAUAGCCUUUCGAAAGAAAGAUUAAUACCCGAUGGCAUAGUUCUUCCGCAUGGUAGAACUAUUAAAGAAUUUCGGUCAUCGAUGGGGAUGCGUUCCAUUAGGUUGUUGGCGGGGUAACGGCCCACCAAGCCUUCGAUGGAUAGGGGUUCUGAGAGGAAGGUCCCCCACAUUGGAACUGAGACACGGUCCAAACUCCUACGGGAGGCAGCAGUGAGGAAUAUUGGUCAAUGGACGAGAGUCUGAACCAGCCAAGUAGCGUGAAGGAUGACUGCCCUAUGGGUUGUAAACUUCUUUUAUACGGGAAUAAAGUGAGGCACGUGUGCCUUUUUGUAUGUACCGUAUGAAUAAGGAUCGGCUAACUCCGUGCCAGCAGCCGCGGUAAUACGGAGGAUCCGAGCGUUAUCCGGAUUUAUUGGGUUUAAAGGGAGCGUAGGCGGACGCUUAAGUCAGUUGUGAAAGUUUGCGGCUCAACCGUAAAAUUGCAGUUGAUACUGGGUGUCUUGAGUACAGUAGAGGCAGGCGGAAUUCGUGGUGUAGCGGUGAAAUGCUUAGAUAUCACGAAGAACUCCGAUUGCGAAGGCAGCUUGCUGGACUGUAACUGACGCUGAUGCUCGAAAGUGUGGGUAUCAAACAGGAUUAGAUACCCUGGUAGUCCACACAGUAAACGAUGAAUACUCGCUGUUUGCGAUAUACAGUAAGCGGCCAAGCGAAAGCGUUAAGUAUUCCACCUGGGGAGUACGCCGGCAACGGUGAAACUCAAAGGAAUUGACGGGGGCCCGCACAAGCGGAGGAACAUGUGGUUUAAUUCGAUGAUACGCGAGGAACCUUACCCGGGCUUGAAUUGCAACUGAAUGAUGUGGAGACAUGUCAGCCGCAAGGCAGUUGUGAAGGUGCUGCAUGGUUGUCGUCAGCU